UGGGGAAUAUUGGACAAUGGGGGCAACCCUGAUCCAGCAAUGCCGCGUGUGUGAAGAAGGCCUUCGGGUUGUAAAGCACUUUUAUCGGGAACGAAACAUUGUCGGCCAAUACCCGGCAAGACUGACGGUACCCGAGGAAUAAGCACCGGCUAACUCCGUGCCAGCAGCCGCGGUAAUACGGAGGGUGCAAGCGUUAUCCGGAUUCACUGGGUUUAAAGGGUGCGUAGGUGGGUAUGUAAGUCAGUGGUGAAAUCCCCGAGCUUAACUUGGGAACUGCCAUUGAUACUAUAUAUCUUGAAUACCGUAGAGGUAAGCGGAAUAUGUCAUGUAGCGGUGAAAUGCUUAGAUAUGACAUGGAACACCAAUUGCGAAGGCAGCUUACUAUGCGGUGAUUGACACUGAGGCACGAAAGCGUGGGUAGCAAACA
Molecule: ribosomal RNA, 427 nt
Filed under: uncultured bacterium
Lineage: Bacteria
Description: bacterial SSU rRNA
Rfam family: Bacterial small subunit ribosomal RNA
Source: RNAcentral